RNAcentral lists this ribosomal RNA (257 nucleotides) under uncultured bacterium. RNAcentral describes it as "partial 16S ribosomal RNA". It matches the Rfam family "Bacterial small subunit ribosomal RNA", at positions 524 to 776 of the family's 1533-position model. The record is from RNAcentral.
UACGUAGGGGUGCGAGCGUUGUCCGGAAUUACUGGGCGUAAAGAGCUCGUAGGUGGUUUGUCGCGUUGUCCGUGAAAAACUCACAACUCAAUUGUGGGCGUGCGGGCGAUACGGGCAGACUGGAGUACUGCAGGGGAGACUGGAAUUCCUGGUGUAGCGGUGGAAUGCGCAGAUAUCAGGAGGAACACCGGUGGCGAAGGCGGGAUCCUGGGCCGUAACUGACGCUGAGGAGCGAAAAGCAUGGGGGAGCGAACAGG